AGAUUCAAGACGGCCAUGAGCAAACAAGUGUUUAGGAAAGUUUCCAUUUGGAGGCAUGCUGCUAAGUCACUUCAGUCGUGUCCGACCUGCGCGACCCCAUGGACGGCAGCCCACCAGGGUUCCCCGUCCCUGGGAUUCUCCAGGCAAGAACACUGGAGUGGGUUGCCAUUUCGUUCUCCAAUGCAUGAAGGUGAAAAGUGAAAGCGAAGUCACUCAGUCGUGUCCAACCCUCAGCGACCCCAUGGACUUCAGCCUUCCAGACUCCUCCAUCCAUGGGAUUUUCCAGGUCAUUCCUGUCAGAGAAGCCACUGCAGUGAGAAGCCUGCUCACCACCACAAAGAAUAGCUUCCACUUGCUCCAGCUAGAGGAAAGUCCACUUAGAA
Molecule: long non-coding RNA, 383 nt
Organism: Bos taurus (domestic cattle)
Lineage: Eukaryota; Metazoa; Chordata; Mammalia; Artiodactyla; Bovidae
Source: Ensembl